GAUGAACGCUGGCGGCGUGCCUAAUACAUGCAAGUCGAGCGAACAGAUAAGGAGCUUGCUCCUUUGACGUUAGCGGCGGACGGGUGAGUAACACGUGGGUAACCUACCUAUAAUACUGGGAUAACUUCGGGAAACCGGAGCUAAUACCGGAUAAUAUUUCGAACCGCAUGGUUCGAUAGUGAAAGAUGGUUUUGCUAUCACUUAUAGAUGGACCCGCGCCGUAUUAGCUAGUUGGUAAGGUAACGGCUUACCAAGGCGACGAUACGUAUCCGACCUGAGAGGGUGAUCGGACACACUGGAACUGAGACACGGUCCAGACUCCUACGGGAGGCAGCAGUAGGGAAUAUUCCGCAAUGGGCGAAAGCCUGACGGAGCAACGCCGAGUGAGUGAUGAAGGUCUUCGGAUCGUAAAACUCUGUUAUUAGGGAAGAACAUACGUGUAAGUAACUGUGCACGUCUUGACGGUACCUAAUCAGAAAGCCACGGCUAACUACGUG
RNAcentral lists this ribosomal RNA (497 nucleotides) under uncultured bacterium. RNAcentral's name for it is "partial 16S ribosomal RNA". It matches the Rfam family "Bacterial small subunit ribosomal RNA", at positions 28 to 507 of the family's 1533-position model. The record is from RNAcentral.